GCUCUCUCGCUGAGUUCCUGGGACCAGACGAACUUUAGGUCUCCUGCUCCUCCGCCAUCUUGGAAACUUUUCUAGCUUCCCCUUCCUAACAACAAAACCAAACAAAACAGACGCAUCUUAGAGCCAUCCUUGUCACUCUGUAACCCAUUAGUAAUUCCUGUAGGCUUUCUUGUAACUCUUACCACCCGUCCACCACUUCUGUUCAUCCUCACCACUAAUGCUCUUUCACAUGCCAGCAUCUUGAGCCCGGACUAAUGCAAUAGAUUUCCAGUUAGUCUCGCUGCUUCCAUACUUGCUCCCCUUCUAGUGCGGGCCUUUAUGAGAAGCAGGUCAGAUCUUGUGCCUUAUCUGCCUGGUGGUCCCUCUGUACUUCAUCACAGCCGGUCCCCUCGCUGGUUUCCACAGGCAAUGGCUGUGCACAGCAGCCGGACUUCCCCUGGCUGGAACCAGACCUUUGGUGCCUGUGAGUUUCUUUGGCCAGUGGAUUAAGCGUCAGUGGCUUAUAGUGGUCAUUUUCUUUCUGGUCUCUGUCUCAUUUUCCCACUCAUAUAUUGGCUCUGCCUCAAUUCACCUCCCCAAUAAACUAUUUGCCCUAGCAUCCUUGACUCAGGGCCUGCUGCUGGGGAUUGCCCAACUAAGAGAGUAGUGAACUCUUAUUAAUCUUUUCUCAGUGCCUUAGGUCCUUAACUGCCAUUAGUGUGUGAGGAGUAAGAGAACGUAAAAAUCGAAGGACUGCACAGAAUCGAGAGUUUGAGUGAAUGGCUUUUCAUGGUACCUCAAGAUCAACCUAUUUUCUCGUUCUCAUGGAAACUCACUGAAAGGUGGAAGAUUUUUUGUCCAGAUCACUCAGAUGGCCAAAUACAAAGCAUCCUAUGCCCACAGGAGGACAGUGUGGAUGACAGUGAGGAGCACAAUGCUUUGUGUUUUUGUUUCCUGAUGAUAGUCUGUUUGGUUUUUGAAUUUUUCCUCCUUUAUUUGCUACCCAAAUAGAGCAUUUUGAUGGCAUUUUAUUUCUUAAGACUUCUUGUCUCUGGUAAGUCCUAAAUUUGGGAAAAAAGUGUAUCCUAUGGUGAUCAUCCUUGAAAUUA
RNAcentral lists this long non-coding RNA (1088 nucleotides) under Ursus thibetanus thibetanus. Its description in RNAcentral is "lncRNA (ENSUTTG00000002474.1)". The record is from RNAcentral. Lineage: Eukaryota; Metazoa; Chordata; Mammalia; Carnivora; Ursidae.